Molecule: ribosomal RNA, 253 nt
Filed under: uncultured bacterium
Lineage: Bacteria
Description: partial 16S ribosomal RNA
Rfam family: Bacterial small subunit ribosomal RNA
Source: RNAcentral
UACGAAGGGUGCAAACGUUGCUCGGAAUUAUUGGGCGUAAAGCGCACGUAGGCGGCUUUGCAAGUCGGAUGUGAAAGCCCUCGGCUCAACCAAGGAAGUGCAUCCGAAACUGCAGAGCUUGAGUACUUAAGAGGAUCGCGGAAUUCCCGGUGUAGAGGUGAAAUUCGUAGAUAUCGGGAGGAACCCCAGUGGCGAAGGCGGCGAUCUGGGAAGAUACUGACGCUGAGGUGCGAAAGCGUGGGGAGCAAACAGG